UGGGGAAUUUUUGGACGAUGGGCGCAAGCCUGAUCCAGCCAUGCCGCGUGUCUGAAGAAGGCCUUCGGGUUGUAAAGGACUUUUGUCAGGGAAGAAAAGGAUAGGGUUAAUACCCCUGUCUGAUGACGGUACCUGAAGAAUAAGCACCGGCUAACUACGUGCCAGCAGCCGCGGUAAUACGUAGGGUGCGAGCGUUAAUCGGAAUUACUGGGCGUAAAGCGGGCGCAGACGGUUACUUAAGCAGGAUGUGAAAUCCCCGGGCUCAACCUGGGAACUGCGUUCUGAACUGGGUGACUAGAGUGUGUCAGAGGGAGGUAGAAUUCCACGUGUAGCAGUGAAAUGCGUAGAGAUGUGGAGGAAUACCGAUGGCGAAGGCAGCCUCCUGGGAUAACACUGACGUUCAUGCCCGAAAGCGUGGGUAGCAAACAGGAUUAGAUACCCUGGUAGUCCACGCCCUAAACGAUGUCGAUUAGCUGUUGGGCAGCUUGACUGCUUAGUAGCGAAGCUAACGCGUGAAAUCGACCGCCUGGGGAGUACGGUCGCAAGAUUA
Molecule: ribosomal RNA, 550 nt
Filed under: uncultured bacterium
Lineage: Bacteria
Description: bacterial SSU rRNA
Rfam family: Bacterial small subunit ribosomal RNA
Source: RNAcentral